Molecule: ribosomal RNA, 404 nt
Filed under: Actinomycetes bacterium
Lineage: Bacteria; Bacillati; Actinomycetota; Actinomycetes
Description: Actinobacteria bacterium partial 16S ribosomal RNA
Rfam family: Bacterial small subunit ribosomal RNA
Source: RNAcentral
UGGGGAAUAUUGGACAAUGGGCGCAAGCCUGAUCCAGCCAUGCCGCGUGAGUGAUGAAGGCCCUAGGGUUGUAAAGCUCUUUCACCGGUGAAGAUAAUGACGGUAACCGGAGAAGAAGCCCCGGCUAACUUCGUGCCAGCAGCCGCGGUAAUACGAAGGGGGCUAGCGUUGUUCGGAUUUACUGGGCGUAAAGCGCACGUAGGCGGACUAUUAAGUCAGGGGUGAAAUCCCGGGGCUGAACCCCGGAACUGCCUUUGAUACUGGUAGUCUUGAGUUAGAGAGAGGUGAGUGGAAUUCCGAGUGUAGAGGUGAAAUUCGUAGAUAUUCGGAGGAACACCAGUGGCGAAGGCGGCUCACUGGCUCGAUACUGACGCUGAGGUGCGAAAGCGUGGGGAGCAAACAGG